Molecule: ribosomal RNA, 253 nt
Filed under: uncultured bacterium
Lineage: Bacteria
Description: partial 16S ribosomal RNA
Rfam family: Bacterial small subunit ribosomal RNA
Source: RNAcentral
UACGUAGGGACCGAGCGUUGUCCGGAUUCAUUGGGCGUAAAGAGCUCGUAGGCGGCUGUUCAAGUCGAACGUGAAAACUCGGAGCUCAACUCCGAGCCUGCGUUCGAUACUGGACGGCUAGAGUCUGGUAGGGGGAUCUGGAAUUCCUGGUGUAGCGGUGAAAUGCGCAGAUAUCAGGAGGAACACCGAUGGCGAAGGCAGGUCUCUGGGCCGAUACUGACGCUGAGGAGCGAAAGCGUGGGGAGCGAACAGG